Molecule: ribosomal RNA, 192 nt
Filed under: uncultured bacterium
Lineage: Bacteria
Description: partial 16S ribosomal RNA
Rfam family: Bacterial small subunit ribosomal RNA
Source: RNAcentral
UACGGGAGGCAGCAGUGAGGAAUUUUGCGCAAUGGGGGAAACCCUGACGCAGCAACGCCGCGUGAGUGAAGAAGGCCCUUGGGUCGUAAAGCUCUGUCGACAGGGAAGAAAUUACCAUUGUUUAAUAGAUGGUGGUAUUGACGGUACCUGUAGAGGAAGCACCGGCUAACUCCGUGCCAGCAGCCGCGGUAA